GUGGGGAAUAUUGGACAAUGGGCGCAAGCCUGAACCAGCCAUGCCGCGUGCAGGAAGACGGUCCUAUGGAUUGUAAACUGCUUUUAUUUGGGAAUAAACUCCGGUACGUGUACCGGCCUGAAGGUACCAAAUGAAUAAGCACCGGCUAACUCCGUGCCAGCAGCCGCGGUAAUACGGAGGGUGCAAGCGUUAUCCGGAAUCAUUGGGUUUAAAGGGUCCGCAGGCGGUCUUAUAAGUCAGUGGUGAAAGCCUACAGCUCAACUGUAGAACUGCCAUUGAUACUGUAGGACUUGAAUUCGAUCGAAGUGGGCGGAAUGUGACAUGUAGCGGUGAAAUGCUUAGAUAUGUCACAGAACACCGAUAGCGAAGGCAGCUCACUAGGUCUGGAUUGACGCUCAGGGACGAAAGCGUGGGGAGCAAACAGGAUUAGAUACCCGAGUAGUCC
Molecule: ribosomal RNA, 445 nt
Filed under: uncultured bacterium
Lineage: Bacteria
Description: bacterial SSU rRNA
Rfam family: Bacterial small subunit ribosomal RNA
Source: RNAcentral